AUGGGGGCAGUAAAUGGGAGAAAAUAAAUGGAUUCGGGGCGGAAAACGGAAUAAAUUUUACGAUCCGAGACGAAUUCGCGGCAGGAAAUGUGAGAAAUUUUGACCCGCCCCGAUUCCGCCUCGCUAUGAUCCGCCCCAAAUCCGCCUCGAAUCCACCUGAAAAUUAUUUAUAUUUUAAAAAAAUAUUCCUAAAAAAUAAUAUAUUUACAAAAAA
This 214-nucleotide long non-coding RNA is filed under the name Ananas comosus (pineapple). RNAcentral describes it as "long non-coding RNA (ACOM_LNC025707)". Lineage: Eukaryota; Viridiplantae; Streptophyta; Magnoliopsida; Poales; Bromeliaceae. The record is from RNAcentral.